UUUUCCUCGUCAUUUUCCUUUCCUUUCUUCUUCUGUAAUAACAGGUCCCUUCUUCCACCACUUCACUGCCUCCAUCUCCACCAAACCCACCAGAAUUUCUUCAAUAAAAAAAAAAUUACGCUCCAUAUAUUCAUCCAUUAAAUGGACAAGAGGGGUUGCUCUGAUGGUAAGCAACCUCCACUUCCAACCAAGAGGUUGUAAGUUCGAGUCACCCCAAGAGCAAGGUGGGGAGUUCUAGGAGGGAAGAUGACGAUGGUCUAUUGGAAACAGCCUCUCUAUUUCAUGGUAGAGGUAAGGUUGCGUACACACUACCCUUCCCACACCCCACUAGUAAAAUUAUAUUGGAUUAUUGUUGUUGUAUAUUCAUCCGUUAAAUCACACCCACCACCACUUUGAUUGCCACAUCGAUAUUUUUUUUUAAAAAAAGCUUAGAAAACUUCAACAAAAAAAACAGCAUAAUAGAAAUCAUCUCCGGUACAUUUUUCUCCUUCAAAACUCUUUCGUUUCUUCCUAAGAGUCAUCUCCAGUACAUUUUUCUCUUAUUUUCUUUUUCUUUUUCUUCUUCUUAUUUUUCGCCGGAAACAAUGGUGAUUCCGGUGACACUUUAAACAAUGGAGAUAUUUAAUAUAAAAAAGAAGAUGAAGAAAUAGGUGGGGAGAUUGGAUGUAACGAGAAAAAGAAGAAGCCAUAAAUAAAAAAAUUUGAAAUUAAAAAACCAAAUACAAGAACUAAUCAGCUGGGGGAAGAGAUAGCUAGGGAGUGCGGGGAUGAUGAAGGAGGCUUGGUGGCGUGGGGUGGGGGUUGGGGAUAAAGAAAAGGAAAAAAUAAUGGAGAGAAAAACUAAAUAAUAAAUGAAAAAGAUAUUAUGCGGUUUAUAAAACACAUGUCAAAAUAUGAUUGGUUCGUGUGGUAUUUAUUAUAUUUCAAAUAAAGACAUAGGACCUACAAAGUAUGAGGGUGUUAGAUGCGGAUUCAAAAUUUAAAUUUUAUGAGUUCAAUAUUUAAAGUUCUUAGUAUUGAACCCAUUAAAUUUUUUAAACUAUAGGUUCAAUCUACUAUUUAUUGUAAUUUUAGUGAAUUUUUACACAUUAAUUUAUAUUACGCGUCAAAAGAUAUGGAUUCAAUUGGACCCGUCACUAAAGUGCUACAUCCGUCCCUGGAGGGUGUAACUGGUAAAUUGGAACAACCCUAACGGGUAACUAUGUAUUAUCCUAUUACAAAUCAAACAAAACAACUUGGGAAACACAUUUAUUAGUUGAAACACAUAUAUUUUCUCUCACUAUAAUGGCAUCUUUGUAUCUCCUCAAUAUCUCCUCAAGUAAUUGUCUUCUCUCUCUAUGUUUGUGUUUCUAGCUAAGAAGAGAGAGAAAAAAGUUGAGAAUAAUAGUAAGUACUAACUGAUGUGAGGCGGAUUUUCUCAGAGAUAGGCUGUGUAGCCAUUUACCCUCGACUGCUGAAGGAAAUUUCAUUGAAGCCAGUAGAAAGAAUACAGCCAUACAGAACUUUUACGUAUAUAGAACUUUUAUGUUUUUUUAGUGUAAUUUAACUUUUAUAGAGGUUAUUUCCUUUGCUUUUUGGAUUAUCAGAUCAUAUUAGUUACAAAUAAUUAUCUAUUAUUGUGAGUAAUUUAACUUAAUGGUGUAAAACUAUUAACAUAAUUAUCAGUGUACGACAAUUAAACUUUUCUAUUUACAAGUUUCACCAAAGUUAUCUAUUCUAACCCAUGUAAUUAAGAAUAUAGUACAAUUGGAUGGUAAAAGUCACAUUUCUCCGCUCUUAAUUAACGGUCUUCAUUUCAAGUUUUAAAAUUGAAGUCUUUUAUGGGAGGAUGCUUUACAACCUGUAAUAGGCCUUCUCCGCAUGAGUCCAAAUUAGUCGAGC
Molecule: long non-coding RNA, 1881 nt
Filed under: Nicotiana tabacum (common tobacco)
Lineage: Eukaryota; Viridiplantae; Streptophyta; Magnoliopsida; Solanales; Solanaceae
Description: long non-coding RNA (NTAB_LNC004830)
Source: RNAcentral